RNAcentral lists this ribosomal RNA (481 nucleotides) under uncultured bacterium. Its description in RNAcentral is "partial 16S ribosomal RNA". It matches the Rfam family "Bacterial small subunit ribosomal RNA", at positions 28 to 507 of the family's 1533-position model. The record is from RNAcentral.
GACGAACGUUGGCGGCGUGCUUAAUACAUGCAAGUCAACUGAAGCAGUGGUAGCAAUAUCGCUGUGGAGGUGGCGCACGGGUGAGUAACACGUAGGUAAUCUGCCUUCAGGUCUGGCAUAACUCCGGGAAACCGGGGCUAAUAGCAGAUGAUGCAGCGGCUCGACAUCGAGACAGUUGUUAAAGCUAUGGCGCCUGAAGAUGAGCCUGCGUCUGAUUAGCUAGUUGGCGGGGUAACGGCCCACCAAGGCAACGAUCAGUAGCUGGUCUGAGAGGAUGAUCAGCCACACUGGAACUGAGACACGGUCCAGACUCCUACGGGAGGCAGCAGUAAGGAAUAUUGCUCAAUGGGAGAAAUCCUGAAGCAGCAACGCCGCGUGAGGGACGAAGGGCUUUUGCUUGUAAAACUCUGUAGUGAGAGAAAAAAAUCCCAAUCUUUGGGACAUGAUGGUAUCUCAAAAGUAAGCCCCGGCUAACUACGUG